Molecule: non-coding RNA, 627 nt
Filed under: Pan troglodytes (chimpanzee)
Lineage: Eukaryota; Metazoa; Chordata; Mammalia; Primates; Hominidae
Source: RNAcentral
UGAAGCAACACCCUAGAUGGAUGUACAGCCAUCAAGAGGAUCUUAAAGUGUGGUCUUUAGUGGAAAAAAAGGCUGGAGUGCAAUGGCAUGGUAUCGGCUCACUGCAACCUCUGUCUCCUGGGUUCAAGCGAUUUUCCUGCCUCAGCCUCCCAAGUAGCUGGGAUUACAGGCGUGCGUCAUCACACCUAGCUAAUUUGUCCCAUAGAAUCUCAUCUUCUGGAUUUCGUGGCUAUUUUUUCAUGGUGUUGAUUCAUUCAUAAGGUAAAAUUUAUAUACAGUGAAAUGCAUCUUAUGGGUACAAUUCAAUGUUUUGAAAAGUGUGCACAUCCAUGUAACCACCACCCAGAUUAAGACACAGAACAUUCCCGUCACCUCAGAAUGUUUCCCGGUGCCUUCUUCCUACCCCUCAUACAGUAACAUUGUAAUAAUUUCUAUUGCCACAUAUAUGUUUACCUGUUCUGAAACUUCACAGAAAUGGAAUUAUAUAUUAUGUAUUUGUUUGUUACUGGCUUUUUAUCAUUUAAUUUUUUUUAUUCAUCCACACCCACUGCAUGUGUCAGUAUUUCAUUCCUUCUUGUUAUUGUGUAGUAUAUGAAUAUAUAUAUAUAUCACAAUUUAUUUUUGCAA